GGUAAUUCUGGGCAGUCAGCCGGGUUAGUACAGUGGUGGCGAGGGUGAUUCGGGUUUACUGUGCGUAAGGAGCGCGUAGGUGGUUAUUUAAGUCAAAUGGUAUAUCCCCGAGCUGAACUUGGGAAAUGCAUUCGAUACUGGUUAGCUAGAGUAUGGGAGAGGAUGGUAGAAUUCCAGGUGUAGCGUUGAAAUGCGUAGAGAUCUGGAGGAAUACCGAUGGCGGAGGCAGCCAUCUGGCCUAAUACUGACACUGAGGUGCGAAAGCAUGGGGAGCAAACAGGAUUAGAUACCCGUGUAGUC
Molecule: ribosomal RNA, 300 nt
Filed under: uncultured archaeon
Lineage: Archaea
Description: partial 16S ribosomal RNA
Rfam family: Bacterial small subunit ribosomal RNA
Source: RNAcentral